GACGAACGCUGGCGGCGUGCUUAACACAUGCAAGUCGAACGGGUCUGCCCUGUUUUUUGCGGGGUGGGUCAGUGGCGAACGGGUGAGUAACACGUGAGUAACCUGCCCCUCACUUCUGGAUAACCGCUUGAAAGGGUGGCUAAUACGGGGUGUUCUGGCUGUGCCGCAUGGUGUGGCUGGGAAAGAUUCACUUUUGUGGUGUUUUGGUGGGGGAUGGGCUCGCGGCCUAUCAGCUUGUUGGUGGGGUGAUGGCCUGCCAAGGCUUUGACGGGUAGCCGGCCUGGGAGGGUGGGCGGUCACACUGGGACUGAGAUACGGCCCAGACUCCUGCGGGAGGCAGCAGUGGGGGGUAUUGCACAAUGGGCGGAAGCCUGAUGCAGCGACGUCGCGUGUGGGAUGGAGGCCUUCGGGUUGUGAACCUCUUUCGCCGGUGAAGAAGGUCCUGCUCUUUGUGGUGGGGUUGACGGUAGCCGGGUUAUGAAGCGCCGGCUAACUACGUG
RNAcentral lists this ribosomal RNA (500 nucleotides) under uncultured bacterium. RNAcentral describes it as "partial 16S ribosomal RNA". It matches the Rfam family "Bacterial small subunit ribosomal RNA", at positions 28 to 507 of the family's 1533-position model. The record is from RNAcentral.